Molecule: small nucleolar RNA, 137 nt
Organism: Suncus etruscus (white-toothed pygmy shrew)
Lineage: Eukaryota; Metazoa; Chordata; Mammalia; Eulipotyphla; Soricidae
Product: small nucleolar RNA SNORA15
Exons: 1
Source: RefSeq, a predicted model, not a curated record
GCAUGGCUGAAUACUGUGUUCUUUUUAUCAAUAUUUUACACAGCCAGACACCAUGCAAAAGUAAAGUUUUCCCUUUAAAUGGCUUUGAUGGUAUGCUGCUUCUUCAUCGCAUAUCAUUAUUAAAAGUGACUACAAAU